This 253-nucleotide ribosomal RNA is filed under the name uncultured bacterium. RNAcentral's name for it is "partial 16S ribosomal RNA". It matches the Rfam family "Bacterial small subunit ribosomal RNA", at positions 524 to 776 of the family's 1533-position model. The record is from RNAcentral.
UACGAAGGGGGCGAGCAUUGUUCGGAAUUACUGGGCGUAAAGGGUGCGUAGGCGGAUUGGAUAGUCAGAUGUGAAAGCCCAAGGCUCAACCUUGGAAUUGCAUUUGAAACUGUCAGUCUGGAGUAUUGGAGAGGAACGUGGAAUUCUCAGUGUAGAGGUGAAAUUCGUAGAUAUUGAGAGGAACACCAGUGGCGUAGGCGACGUUCUGGCCAAAUACUGACGCUGAGGCACGAAAGUGUGGGGAGCAAACAGG